Solanum lycopersicum (tomato) is the source of this 156-nucleotide non-coding RNA. NCBI's taxonomy places the organism in Eukaryota, Viridiplantae, Streptophyta, Magnoliopsida, Solanales, Solanaceae. The record is from Rfam.
UUCUCUCGACAACGAAUAUCUCAGCUCUCGCAUCGAUGAAGAAGGUAGCGAAAUGCGAUGCUUGGUGUGAAUUGCAGAAUCCUGUGAACCAUCGAGUCUUUGAACGCAAGUUGCGCCCGAAGCUAUUUGGCCGAGGGAACGUCUGCCUGGGCGUCA